CUACGGGUUGCUGCAGUGGGGAAUAUUGCACAAUGGGCGCAAGCCUGAUGCAGCCAUGCCGCGUGUAUGAAGAAGGCCUUCGGGUUGUAAAGUACUUUCAGCGGGGAGGAAGGGAGUAAAGUUAAUACCUUUGCUCAUUGACGUUACCCGCAGAAGAAGCACCGGCUAAGUCCGUGCCAGCAGCCGCGGUAAUACGGAGGGUGCAAGCGUUAAUCGGAAUUACUGGGCGUAAAGCGCACGCAGGCGGUUUGUUAAGUCAGAUGUGAAAUCCCCGGGCUCAACCUGGGAACUGCAUCUGAUACUGGCAAGCUUGAGUCUCGUAGAGGGGGGUAGAAUUCCAGGUGUAGCGGUGAAAUGCGUAGAGAUCUGGAGGAAUACCGGUGGCGAAGGCGGCCCCCUGGACGAAGACUGACGCUCAGGUGCGAAAGCGUGGGGAACAAACAGGAUUAGAUACCCCAGUAGUC
This 464-nucleotide ribosomal RNA is filed under the name uncultured bacterium. Its description in RNAcentral is "partial 16S ribosomal RNA". It matches the Rfam family "Bacterial small subunit ribosomal RNA", at positions 339 to 795 of the family's 1533-position model. The record is from RNAcentral.